UAGUUUGAUUCUGGCUCAGAUUGAACGCUGGCGGCAUCCCUUACACAUGCAAGUCGAACGGCAGCAUGAUCUAGCUUGCUAGAUUGAUGGCGAGUGGCGAACGGGUGAGUAAUACAUCGGAACGUGCCCUGUAGUGGGGGAUAACUAGUCGAAAGAUUAGCUAAUACCGCAUACGACCUGAGGGUGAAAGUGGGGGACCGCAAGGCCUCAUGCUAUAGGAGCGGCCGAUGUCUGAUUAGCUAGUUGGUGGGGUAAAGGCCCACCAAGGCGACGAUCAGUAGCUGGUCUGAGAGGACGAUCAGCCACACUGGGACUGAGACACGGCCCAGACUCCUACGGGGGGCAGCAGUGGGGAAUUUUGGACAAUGGGCGAAAGCCUGAUCCAGCAAUGCCGCGUGUGUGAAGAAGGCCUUCGGGUUGUAAAGCACUUUUGUCCGGAAAGAAAUGGCUCUGGUUAAUACCUGGGGUCGAUGACGGUACCGGAAGAAUAAGGACCGGCUAACUACGUGCCAGCAGCCGCGGUAAUACGUGGGGUCCAAGCGUUAAUCGGAAUUACUGGGCGUAAAGCGUGCGCAGGCGGUUGUGCAAGACCGAUGUGAAAUCCCCGAGCUUAACUUGGGAAUUGCAUUGGUGACUGCACGGCUAGAGUGUGUCAGAGGGGGGUAGAAUUCCACGUGUAGCAGUGAAAUGCGUAGAGAUGUGGAGGAAUACCGAUGGCGAAGGCAGCCCCCUGGGAUAACACUGACGCUCAUGCACGAAAGCGUGGGGAGCAAACAGGAUUAGAUACCCUGGUAGUCCACGCCCUAAACGAUGUCAACUAGUUGUUGGGGAUUCAUUUCCUUAGUAACGUAGCUAACGCGUGAAGUUGACCGCCUGGGGAGUACGGUCGCAAGAUUAAAACUCAAAUGAAUUGACGGGG
RNAcentral lists this ribosomal RNA (919 nucleotides) under uncultured Ralstonia sp. Its description in RNAcentral is "bacterial SSU rRNA". It matches the Rfam family "Bacterial small subunit ribosomal RNA", at positions 9 to 918 of the family's 1533-position model. The record is from RNAcentral. Lineage: Bacteria; Pseudomonadati; Pseudomonadota; Betaproteobacteria; Burkholderiales; Burkholderiaceae.